RNAcentral lists this ribosomal RNA (1226 nucleotides) under uncultured organism. RNAcentral describes it as "bacterial SSU rRNA". It matches the Rfam family "Bacterial small subunit ribosomal RNA", at positions 254 to 1475 of the family's 1533-position model. The record is from RNAcentral.
GAGGUAACGGCUCACCAAGGCAACGACGGGUAGCGGGACUGAGAGGUUGGCCCGCCACAUCGGGACUGAGACACUGCCCGGACCUCCACGGAGGGCUGCAGUAACGGAUAUUGGGCAAUGGGCGAAAGCCUGACCCAGCAAUGCCGCGUGCAGGAUGAAGCCCCUAGGGGUGUAAACUGCUGUCAGGGGUCAGAAGGCUGGUUUCGGCCAGUUGAUCAACCCCAGAGGAAGUCACGGCUAACUUCGUGCCAGCAGCCGCGGUAAUACGAAGGUGGCAAGCGUUAUUCGGAAUCAUUGGGCUUAAGGGGCACGCAGGCGGAACAGUGUGUGUUGUGUGAAAUCCCCCGGCUUAACCGGGGAAUUGCACAGCAAACUGCUGUUCUUGAGGCAGGUAGGGGUGCAUGGAACUCUUGGUGGAGCGGUGGAAUGCGUAGAUAUCAAGAGGAACGCCAGAGGUGAAGACGGUGCACUGGGCCUGUCCUGACGCUGAGGUGCGAAAGCGUGGGGAGCGAACGGGAUUAGAUACCCCGGUAGUCCACGCCGUAAACGAUGUCUACUAGGUCGUGGGUGUUCUGACACAUUCACGGCCGGAGCAAAAGUGUUUAGUAGACCGCCUGGGGAGUACGGCCGCAAGGUUAAAACUCAAAUGAAUUGACGGGGGCUCACACAAGCGGUGGAGCAUGUGGAUUAAUUCGAAGCAACGCGCAGAACCUUACCUGGGUUUGACAUGCUUGUAUGCCUUCUCUGAAAGGAGUUAGGCUGCCUUCGGGUGAAACUUGCACAGGUGCUGCAUGGCUGUCGUCAGCUCGUGUCGUGAGAUGUCGGGGUUAAGUCCUUUAACGGAGCGAAACCCUUGCCGUUAGUUGCCAGCGAGUAAUGUCGGGGACUCUAACGGGACUGCCGGUGUUAAACCGGAGGAAGGUGGGGAUGACGUCAAGUCCUCAUGGCCUUUAUGCCCAGGGCUUCACACGUGCUACAAUGGCAAUUACAGAGCGACGCGAUACCGCGAGGUGGAGCAAAUCGCAAAAAAAUUGCCUCAGUUCGGAUUGCAGGCUGGCAAUUCGCCUGCAUGAAGUCGGAAUCGCUAGUAAUCGCGUAUCAGCAAUGACGCGGUGAAUGUGUUCCUGAGCCUUGUACACACCGCCCGUCAAGUGAUGGAAGCCGGGAGUACCCGAAGUCGGGUUGCUAACCUUUGGGAGGCGCCUGCCGACGGUAAGUUCGGUGAC